Molecule: long non-coding RNA, 525 nt
Filed under: Mytilus galloprovincialis (Mediterranean mussel)
Lineage: Eukaryota; Metazoa; Mollusca; Bivalvia; Mytilida; Mytilidae
Source: RNAcentral
GUUUGAUUAUAAUGUUUUCAAAAGAAUGAUGAAAACUAGUUUGUAUUAGUUCUCUGUUUCCUAGGGAAGGAAAACAUUUAAAGUGUAAAAUACAAUUAUAAAAAAGUAUCAGUUGACAACAAAGAUUCAAAUCAUUGAUAUACAAAUUGUACCAGUAUGAUUUUACAGCCGAUAGCAUUGAGUGUGUAGGUAAAGGUAAUAUCUUUGGUUAGCCAGGUUGCUAGCUGAACCGUGAAGUCAUUAUUAGGUAAGAUAUAUUACCCUUCUUUCAAAGUACCCUAGUCUUACAGACAGAUAGAUUGGUUAUCUGUCAGACUAGUCUACUCUAAAAGGAGGGUAGUUUACCUAACCUAAUAAUGACUUCACGGUUCAGCUAACAAGCAAGUUAACCAACGAUAUUACCUUUACCUACACACUCAAUGCAAUCGGCUGAAAUAGAUUUGUUCAAUUCAAUCAAGUCUUCAAAUAAAUCGAAUUUAAACAAUGAUAUAGUAGCUUCUGGUGAAAUAUAAGAUAUUUCCAGAU